Long non-coding RNA from Gordionus sp. m RMFG-2023, 544 nucleotides. RefSeq lists it as uncharacterized. The record is from RefSeq and is a predicted model, not a curated record. Lineage: Eukaryota; Metazoa; Nematomorpha; Gordioida; Chordodea; Parachordodidae. The transcript is spliced from 2 exons.
GCAAAUGCAGCGUCUACUUGGGUCAAAGGGUAGACAUUUAAGGGGGAUAGAUUAGGAUUUAUAAUUAACUAAGCUUAGAACGGUUAAGAUUUAGCUUAUUAAUAUAAUGUCACGCAUUCAUUAAAUUAAAUCAGCCAAACAUAUUGGUUUGUGGCAGGACCUUUAAAUCCCACCUUAAAUGGGAUUAUCCCAGAUUAAUGAAGCGAUGAUGAUGGUAGGGACAAUUAUUUUGGUGACAUUUAUUGUCUUACUAGCCAUUUUAAUAGGUUGGCUAAUUGUUUGGAAAUGUUUUCUCCUACAAUUCCAAUUUGUAAGAGAGCUAUGUGGUAAAUAUGACAAAAAUGAUAGUAAAAAGAACUCAAAAUCAUCGAAAAUUCUCUAAUUUUUAACAUAGUUUUUAAUGCUAUUUAUUUAUUCAAUUGAAUAUAUUUUUAGAGCUUAUAAAUAUAUCACGUUUUAGCUUUAUAAAUGUUAUUUAUUAUUAUAAAUUAUGUUAUUUAAUUUUAAAUAUAAUAUUUACAAGAAUAAAAUUAUAAUGCCAAUA